This 504-nucleotide ribosomal RNA is filed under the name uncultured bacterium. RNAcentral describes it as "bacterial SSU rRNA". It matches the Rfam family "Bacterial small subunit ribosomal RNA", at positions 29 to 524 of the family's 1533-position model. The record is from RNAcentral.
AUUGAACGCUGGCGGCGUGCUUAACACAUGCAAGUCGAUCGGUAACAGGUGUAGCAAUACAUGCUGACGAGAGGCGGACGGGUGAGUAAUGCUUGGGAAUCUGCCUAUUAGUGGGGGACAACCCGGGGAAACUCGGGCUAAUACCGCAUACGCUCUACGGAGGAAAGCCGGGGACCGCAAGGCCUGGCGCUAAUAGAUGAGCCCAAGUCGGAUUAGCUAGUUGGUAGGGUAACGGCCUACCAAGGCGACAAUCCGUAGCUGGUCUGAGAGGACGACCAGCCACACCGGAACUGAGACACGGUCCGGACUCCUACGGGAGGCAGCAGUGGGGAAUAUUGGACAAUGGGGGCAACCCUGAUCCAGCGACGCCGCGUGGGUGAAGAAGGCCUGCGGGUUGUAAAGCCCUUUCGGUGGGGAAGAAAAGUCUCGACCUAAUACGUCGGGACCUUGACGUAACCCCACUAAAGAAGCACCGGCUAACUCUGUGCCAGCCGCCGCCGUAAG